This is a long non-coding RNA of Heterocephalus glaber (naked mole-rat), 661 nucleotides long. Lineage: Eukaryota; Metazoa; Chordata; Mammalia; Rodentia; Bathyergidae. The record is from Ensembl.
GGCAGCCAGGAGAGCAUCAAUCUACUGAAGCACCCCUGUGCAGCCAUGCUCUGGACCUAACCACUCUUCUUCCUCACUGUCUUUUGUAUAGGGGUCUCUCCAGAUAUAAUUUUGGAACCAGACACCAAAACUCUGACUGUUCAGGUUGGGAAGCCUACCACCUCCUGCUGCAGAGUAACAGGAGGGGACUUGAAGAACUACUGAAUGAGCUGGUAUAGGAAGAAUGAAGAUAACUGCCUAAUCCUAGUAUACAAACCAAACAAUUCUACUGACAAGGUGUUGAAUGUUUUACAUCUUGUCAUAGCUACAGAGGAGUCCUGAGGAACCAUGGAGGUCAGCAUAGAGGGCAAUGUCCCUCUCCCAUGUCUCAGAGUCAGCUGACUAUGGACUGAAACCUCUACAAAUUGUUGUCUCUUCGUUCUGUUGGUGGUUUCUCUUGCAGUGCAGAAGCUUUUUAAUAAGAUAAGAUCCCAGUUGUUGAUUCUUUGUGCAAGUUCACAUGCUACUGAGGAUUUGUUCAUAAAGUCUUUUCCUAUACCAAUGUCUUCAAAAGUUCUACCUAACUCACAAAGGACUCAACUUUACAGAAACCAGUUUUAUGGGCUCUUCCUUUCUGGUCACCAGCAAAUUUUUUCAAAUAUUCAACUUUGCUUUUUGUUCC